Long non-coding RNA from Pongo pygmaeus (Bornean orangutan), 1413 nucleotides. RefSeq lists it as uncharacterized. The transcript is spliced from 3 exons. The record is from RefSeq and is a predicted model, not a curated record. Lineage: Eukaryota; Metazoa; Chordata; Mammalia; Primates; Hominidae.
AGAUGUGGCUCGUGUACAGGCUCUCGUACUCCCUGUCAAAGAGAAGAGGGCACAGAGUUACACCAGCCCCUCUGACACAGGCUCAGUUAUGGUUGCAAGUAACUGCCUUCGUUCUCCUACUUUGUACAGAGUUGGAGGGUCAUCCAUGUCAGAAGAUAAACCGCUGGAAGAAUAGACCUAUUUCCUAUAGAAAUGAAAAGGCUGAUUCUAAUAUUCACACAGAACUGCAAGGUGGACCCUAAGCAACUAAAACAAUCUUGAAAAAGGAAAAUCAAGAGGGAGGACUCUCCCUUUCUGAUUUCAAAACUUACUACAAAGCCACAGUAAUCAAAACAGUGUGGUAUUGGAAUAAGGACAGACAUAUACAGCAAUGAAACAGAAUUGAGAGUCCUAAAAUAAACCCAUGGAUCUAUGGUCAAUUGAUUUUCAUCAAUGGUGCCAAGAUCACUCAAUGGGAAGAAAGAAUAGUUUCUUCAACAAAGGGUACUGGAACAAAUGGAUAUCCAUAAACAAAAGAAUGAAACUGGACUCCAACUUCACGUCAUACAUAAAAAUUAACUCAAAAUGACCAAAUGUCAGAGCUAAAACUAUAAAACUCUUAGAAGAAAACAUAGGAGUAAAUAUCUGUGACCUUGGAUUUAGCAAUGGAUUCUUAGAUACUGACACUAAAAGCAUAAGCAACCAAAAAAACAAGAUCCAUUAUAUUUCAUUAAAAUUGAAAACAUUUGUGUAUAAGACACUAUCAAGAAAGUGAAAAGACAAUCUACAGAAGUAGAAGAGAAUAUUUGCAAAUCAUAAUUCUGAUAAGGGUCUAGUAUCCAGAACAUAUAAACAACUCUUAGAACCCAACAACAAAAACAACUACUUCAAAAAUGGGCAAAGGCCUUGAAUAAACAUUGUUCCAACUAAGGUAUACAAAUGGCCAACAGGCACAUGAAAAGAUCCUCAAUAUCAUUAGUCAUUAGAGAAAUGUAAAUCAAAACCACAAUGACCCUACCUCACACCAACUACAAUGGCUAUAAGCAAAGAAAGAAAGAAAAUAGGUGUUGGCAAGGAUGUGGAGAAACUAGAACCCCCCUUACAAUGCUGGUUGGAAUGUAAAAUGGUGCCACCAUGUGAAAAACAGAUGGUUUCUCAAAAAGCAAAGAAUUACCAUACGAUCCAGCAAUUCCACUUUUAGGUAUACACUUAACUGAAAAUAGAUAUUCAAAAAGUAACUGUACAUGAAUGUUUAUCACAAUGCUGUUCACAAUAACCAAAACAUGGAAACAACUCAAAUGCCCAUCUAUGAACAGAUGAAUGGAUAAACAAAAUGUGAUAUAUACAUAUAAUAGUUAUUCAGCCAGCCGGGCACAGUGGCUCACAUCUGUAAUCCCAGCACUUUGGGAGGCCAAGGCGGGCAGAUGACUUGAG